Long non-coding RNA from Tarenaya hassleriana, 1895 nucleotides. RefSeq lists it as uncharacterized. Lineage: Eukaryota; Viridiplantae; Streptophyta; Magnoliopsida; Brassicales; Cleomaceae. The transcript has 6 exons. The record is from RefSeq and is a predicted model, not a curated record.
UCGUAGGAGGCCGGGGAAUGAUCGCCGGUGCGGGCACGGACAAGGAGCAACUCAUGAAAAGCUUCAGGUAAAUCAAAGGAUAACAUUGCUUCAAGGAUGGAUGUUAAGGACAUAUGUUCUCGGAAAGAUUUGGAGAUGAGAGCAGAUGGAAAAGCUCCUAUUCCCAUCUUCAGACUCUCUAAAGAUGAAAAUCUUGCGAUUUUAAAGUGGUUGAGAGAUGAAGUCAAGUUUUCAGAUGGAUAUGCUUCAAACAUUGGAAGGUGUGUUGAUCUGGAAGGUGGAAAACUACAUGGGAUGAAAAGUCAUGAUUGUCAUGUAUUAAUUUAUGCAACGCCUACUUUCUGUUGCCAUCGGUGAACUGCUACCACAACCUGUAACCAAAGCUUUAUGCGGUAUCAGCACGUUCUUCCGAGACAUUUGUUCUAAGAACUUAAAUGUCAAAGAUGUUGAAACUAUGAAGACUAAUAUUCCGAUCAUUCUGUGCGCGUUUGAAAAGAUAUUCCCCCCCAUCGUUCUUCGAUGUUAUGGAGCAUUUGACGAUACAUCUUCCAGAUGAAGCAAUCCUCGGAGGACCGGCUCAAUUCAGAUGGAUGUAUCCGUUUGAAAGGUUCUUCUACCAUCUUAAGCGCAAGGUGAAAAACAAGAAUAAACCAGAAGGUGCAAUCGUCAAACAGUACGUUAAUGAGGAGGUGACGUUUUUUACAAACUACUACUUCGAGCCUCAUGUCCAAACGAAACACAGAAGUGUAUCUAGACAUGCAGACGAAGAGCGACUGUUUGAAUACAAUGAAAUUGUGCCAGAAAUGUUCUAUCAGACUGGACGGCUUAGUGGAAAAUCCAGUCGACGUUGGUUAACUGAAGAGGAGUAUCGACACGCACACACUUACAUCUUAUUGAAUUGUGAAGACAUUCGACCCAUUGAGCGUUUGUUUGACGAGGACAUGAUACGUCAACAUCCAGAUAUUGAUGGUGAUGGUCUGAUCAAGAUGAAAGAAACAUUCUUCUCGACUUGGUUAUAUCAGUAUGUUCAACAAUCACCGCAUCAUCCAGUCUGGUUGAAAGAUUUGAUCCAAGUCCAUCGAGAAAGGUGACAUGUUAUCCGAUCAUGUUCACAAGAGGAUACACGUUUCACACAUUCGAUCAUGGUUCAGAACGACGAGUAUCGAACUACGGAAUUUGUGUUCGAGGUUCCGUAAGCUAUGAGGGCAGAGACAUCAGAAAGAACGCUGCCGGAACUGUUGAUGUUAACAUCACAAGAAAGUAUAAAAAAUACGAUCCAUUCAUCCUUUCAUCUCAAGCUGAUCAGGUGUGUUUUAUGUCUUAUCCAAGUGUUAAACGACAGCGUGAACAAUGGAGUGCGGUCAUCAGAAUACAACCACGACGAAUAUCCCAUGAAGAAAAUGCAACCGAUUCAACAAUGCUACCUCUUCAAGAAAUCAUUCAUGACGUCGAAGAAUUAAACGCGUUGACAUUGCCAUCAAUUGAUAAUCUUAUUGGUCAUAUUGAAGAUGAUAUUCUACAUGUUGAUGAAAAUAUUGUUGAAGAAGGAGAUAGUGAACCCGAAGAAAGUGAUGUAAACGAUGAGGAUGAAGAGGAUUCUGAUUGAAAAAAAAUAAAUAUAGAUUUAGCAACGAAAUUGCAUUGCUAACUGUAGUAGCAACGAAAUUUCGUUGCUAAAUCCUGUAGCAAGGAAAUUGCAUUGCUAACUGUAGUAGCAACGAAAUUACGUUGCGGCCUCCAUGCAGAAUCGGUCUACAUGCAGGCGACAAGUAGCAACGAUUCGUCUCCUUUCGCAACGAAAUUUCGUUGCUAAGUCAAUUAGCAACGAAAUUUCGUUGCUACGGUACGAUUUGACCGUCGCAGUAAUCUGAAACCUUGCAACGAUUUGAAUCACU